CUACGGGUGGCAGCAGUAGGGAAUAUUGGUCAAUGGACGAAAGUCUGAACCAGCCAUGCCGCGUGAAGGAUGACGGCCCUAUGGGUUGUAAACUUCUUUUAUAUGGGAAGAAACCCCUCUACGUGUAGAGGGCUGACGAUACCAUACGAAUAAGCAUCGGCUAACUCCGUGCCAGCAGCCGCAGUAAUACGGAGGAUGCAAGCGUUAUCCGGAUUUAUUGGGUUUAAAGGGUGCGCAGGCGGAAAGAUAAGUCAGUGGUGAAAUCCUACGGCCUAACUGUAGAACUGCCAUUGAUACUGUCUUUCUUGAGUACAGUUGAAGUGGGCGGAAUGUGUCAUGUAGCGGUGAAAUGCAUAGAUAUGACACAGAACACCGAUAGCGAAGGCAGCUCACUAAACUGAAACUGACGCUCAUGCACGAAAGCGUGGGGAGCAAACAGGAUUAGAUACCCGGGUAGUC
This 459-nucleotide ribosomal RNA is filed under the name uncultured bacterium. RNAcentral's name for it is "partial 16S ribosomal RNA". It matches the Rfam family "Bacterial small subunit ribosomal RNA", at positions 339 to 795 of the family's 1533-position model. The record is from RNAcentral.